UACGUAGGGUGCGAGCGUUAAUCGGAAUUACUGGGCGUAAAGCGUGCGCAGGCGGUUUCUGAAGUCCGUUGUGAAAGCCCCGGGCUUAACCUGGGAAUGGCAGUGGAAACUAGGAGACUUGAAUCUGGCAGAGGGGGGUGGAAUGCCACGUGUAGCAGUGAAAUGCGUAGAGAUGUGGCGGAACACCGAUGGCGAAGGCAGCCCCCUGGGUUAACACUGACGCUCAGGCACGAAAGCGUGGGGAGCAAACAGG
Molecule: ribosomal RNA, 253 nt
Filed under: uncultured bacterium
Lineage: Bacteria
Description: partial 16S ribosomal RNA
Rfam family: Bacterial small subunit ribosomal RNA
Source: RNAcentral